AAGACUAGACUUUCAGGGAUCAUGUCUAUAGCUUGUUACUAGACAAGUUUCUCUGAUAGUGUAGAGAACCGGAAACCAGGAGGAGGAGAUGCAGCGUUCUCGCCUGAGCAUGAAAUCGGCUCUUGGCAUUGCUUCGGUAACUGCCAUUUGCCACUGAUGAUCGUUCUUUUUCUCUCCUUGGAGAAUGGGAGGGGAGAGCGCGUUCUGACUGGC
This is a small nucleolar RNA of Molossus molossus (Pallas's mastiff bat), 213 nucleotides long. RefSeq annotates it as small nucleolar RNA U3. NCBI's taxonomy places the organism in Eukaryota, Metazoa, Chordata, Mammalia, Chiroptera, Molossidae. The record is from RefSeq and is a predicted model, not a curated record. The transcript has a single exon.